AGUCAUAAUUUUUGAAUUUACAUCUUCGCUAUAAUUGAAUUUGAGAGAGAAAGAAAAGAGCAUUUGUUCUUGUUGCUUGUCUCCAACGACGACAAAGGUCCGCCGUCUCCAACGCGUUGGAUUGAAAAUUAGGAAUCCUGUUAUUCUGCCAGACGUCGCAUCGUUGGGUCACUUUCGCAUCUCUAGAAAUGAUGACAAUUGCAAGCUAAACGACCAAUUUGCUGAUCGCCUUCCCCAUAUGCUUACAAACAUUCUCCAUCGCCACCUGAUUCAGACUACUCGCCAAAUACAUUCCAAGAAAUCCCCAUCUCAUUACUACGCCAAAUUUUAGAAGAUGAAAGGGAUUUUGGGUAUCAGUAAUUGACGUCUUUUUGUAUAUACAAACCAGAAAUUAAGCACAGAUGAUACAGUUUUCUGAUGUCAUUUGAAGAACUCGUCAAUAAGUUCAUUCAAUAUCA
Non-coding RNA from Cucurbita pepo subsp. pepo (vegetable marrow), 458 nucleotides. NCBI's taxonomy places the organism in Eukaryota, Viridiplantae, Streptophyta, Magnoliopsida, Cucurbitales, Cucurbitaceae. The record is from RefSeq and is a predicted model, not a curated record.